GAUGAACGCUGGCGGCGUGCCUAAUACAUGCAAGUCGAGCGAACAGACGAGGAGCUUGCUCCUCUGACGUUAGCGGCGGACGGGUGAGUAACACGUGGAUAACCGACCUAUAAGACUGGGAUAACUUCGGGAAACCGGAGCUAAUACCGGAUAAUAUAUUGAACCGCAUGGUUCAAUAGUGAAAGACGGUUUUGCUGUCACUUAUAGAUGGAUCCGCGCCGCAUUAGCUAGUUGGUAAGGUAACGGCUUACCAAGGCAACGAUGCGUAGCCGACCUGAGAGGGUGAUCGGCCACACUGGAACUGAGACACGGUCCAGACUCCUACGGGAGGCAGCAGUAGGGAAUCUUCCGCAAUGGGCGAAAGCUUGACGGAGCAACGCCGCGUGAGUGAUGAAGGUCUUCGGAUCGUAAAACUCUGUUAUUAGGGAAGAACAAAUGUGUAAGUAACUAUGCACGUCUUGACGGUACCUAAUCAGAAAGCCACGGCUAACUACGUG
Molecule: ribosomal RNA, 497 nt
Filed under: uncultured bacterium
Lineage: Bacteria
Description: partial 16S ribosomal RNA
Rfam family: Bacterial small subunit ribosomal RNA
Source: RNAcentral